Molecule: ribosomal RNA, 222 nt
Filed under: uncultured bacterium
Lineage: Bacteria
Description: partial 16S ribosomal RNA
Rfam family: Bacterial small subunit ribosomal RNA
Source: RNAcentral
GCAAGUCGAGCGCUUCACUUCGGUGAGGAGCGGCGGACGGGUUAGUAACGCGUGGGAAUAUACCCUUUUCUACGGAAUAGCCUCGGGAAACUGAGAGUAAUACCGUAUACGCCCUUUGGGGGAAAGAUUUAUCGGAGAAGGAUUGGCCCGCGUUAGAUUAGAUAGUUGGUGGGGUAAUGGCCUACCAAGUCUACGAUCUUUAGCUGGUUUGAGAGGAUGAUC